UACGUAGGUGGCAAGCGUUGUCCGGAUUUACUGGGCGUAAAGAGCGCGCAGGCGGUCGUACAAGUCGCGUGUGAAAGCCCCCGGCUCAACUGGGGAGGGUCACGCGAUACUGUUCGACUCGAAGGCAGGAGAGGGAAGUGGAAUUCCCGGUGUAGUGGUGAAAUGCGUAGAUAUCGGGAGGAACACCAGUGGCGAAGGCGACUUCCUGGCCUGUUCUUGACGCUGAGGCGCGAAAGCUAGGGGAGCAAACGGG
RNAcentral lists this ribosomal RNA (253 nucleotides) under uncultured bacterium. Its description in RNAcentral is "partial 16S ribosomal RNA". It matches the Rfam family "Bacterial small subunit ribosomal RNA", at positions 524 to 776 of the family's 1533-position model. The record is from RNAcentral.